CGCGGGCUGUCUCACGUUGCGAUUACGUAAACAAACAGAUUUUUCGCGUGCUCGCCAAAUUCGAACAUGUGAAUGAUUUUGAGUCAAAAUCGAUUAGUUACAUUUGUUUUUUAUAAGAAGUAACGGGAUAACUUAAAACGAAUAUAGCACAUACUCAUAUGGAUUACUUUUUUUUUUGGAAUUUAUUUAUUCAUUUAUUUGAAUCAUGCUUCCAUCUGUCAUCCGGGUGUCUCACUGAUGAAAACACCAGUUUGAAGCUACAUCAGGCAUCCAUUCACUGCAGAGGAUUCAUUGCUGAGCAAGUGAUGGAAUGCUAAUUUCCUCCAAAUUAGUUCUGAUAAAGAAACAAACUCAUCUACAUCUCGGAUGACCUGAGGAAACUAAUGUCGGCAGAGCAGAGAUAGCUCAUCUUGUCACCCACUGAAUCAUAAUGAGGAAAUGUGAGGAUAAUGCUUGUAAUCAGCAGUAUCGGAGAACAAGAAUGCCAUUGUCUCACCCCUCAUUUCCUGUCCGGUUCAGAUGGCCAGAGUGAGGCAAAUAUUAGAUCAACAUGUAUGGAAAUAUAUUAUUACAAAGAGAAGCUGUUACGCCGCAGACACCUCUUCAAGAGUCCAAGUGAGAUUUGUGAACCGCCGCUGCAAGGAAAAGGACCUCUGGUGUCAAGAUGGCUGUACAUUCACAUCAGGGCUUGUUUAAUAACAUGAAGAGACACAACUUCUGCCGCUCUCUGUCAUCCUAAUUACAUUCGUCUUUCUGACUUCUAUGAAAGCCUCUCUGAAACUCAUUUCACUGGAGACAAGGAAACACAAGCUGGAAGCUUUGACGGAGCUCUCAUUUUGUCUGUCUAAAGGG
Cyprinus carpio carpio is the source of this 852-nucleotide long non-coding RNA. The record is from Ensembl. Lineage: Eukaryota; Metazoa; Chordata; Actinopteri; Cypriniformes; Cyprinidae.